AUUGUACUCCCUCCGUUCCAAAUUACUUGUCUCAAAAGUGGAUAAAAAUGAAUGUAUCUAUAACUAAAAUACAUCUAGAUACAUCCAUUUUUGUGAUAAGUAAUUCCGAACGGAGGGAGUAGCUG
Molecule: non-coding RNA, 125 nt
Organism: Triticum aestivum (bread wheat)
Lineage: Eukaryota; Viridiplantae; Streptophyta; Magnoliopsida; Poales; Poaceae
Source: Rfam